Molecule: ribosomal RNA, 497 nt
Filed under: uncultured bacterium
Lineage: Bacteria
Description: partial 16S ribosomal RNA
Rfam family: Bacterial small subunit ribosomal RNA
Source: RNAcentral
GAUGAACGCUGGCGGCGUGCCUAAUACAUGCAAGUCGAGCGAACAGACGAGGAGCUUGCUCCUCUGACGUUAGCGGCGGACGGGUGAGUAACACGUGGAUAACCUACCUAUAAGACUGGGAUAACUUCGGGAAACCGGAGCUAAUACCGGAUAAUAUAUUGAACCGCAUGGUUCAAUAGUGAAAGACGGUUUUGCUGUCACUUAUAGAUGGAUCCGCGCCGCAUUAGCUAGUUGGUAAGGUAACGGCUUACCAAGGCAACGAUGCGUAGCCGACCUGAGAGGGUGAACGGCCACACUGGAACUUAGACACGGUCCAGACUCCUACGGGAGGCAGCAGUAGGGAAUCUUCCGCAAUGGGCGAAAGCCUGACGGAGCAACGCCGCGUGAGUGAUGAAGGUCUUCGGAUCGUAAAACUCUGUUAUUAGGGAAGAACAAAUGUGUAAGUAACUAUGCACGUCUUGACGGUACCUAAUCAGAAAGCCACGGCUAACUACGUG